This 448-nucleotide ribosomal RNA is filed under the name uncultured bacterium. RNAcentral's name for it is "bacterial SSU rRNA". It matches the Rfam family "Bacterial small subunit ribosomal RNA", at positions 329 to 794 of the family's 1533-position model. The record is from RNAcentral.
GACCAGACUCCUACGGGAGGCAGCAGUGGGGAAUAUUGCACAAUGGGGGAAACCCUGAUGCAGCAACGCCGCGUGAGUGAAGAAGUAUUUCGGUAUGUAAAGCUCUAUCAGCAGGGAAGAAGAUGACGGUACCUGACCAAGAAGCCCCGGCUAACUACGUGCCAGCAGCCGCGGUAAUACGUAGGGGGCAAGCGUUAUCCGGAUUUACUGGGUGUAAAGGGAGCGUAGACGGCAUGGCAAGUCAGAUGUGAAAGCCCGGGGCUCAACCCCGGGACUGCAUUUGAAACUGUCAGGCUGGAGUGCAGGAGAGGUAAGUGGAAUUCCUAGUGUAGCGGUGAAAUGCGUAGAUAUUAGGAGGAACACCAGUGGCGAAGGCGGCUUACUGGACUGUAACUGACGUUGAGGCUCGAAAGCGUGGGGAGCAAACAGGAUUAGAUACCCCUGUAGG